Molecule: long non-coding RNA, 312 nt
Filed under: Setaria viridis
Lineage: Eukaryota; Viridiplantae; Streptophyta; Magnoliopsida; Poales; Poaceae
Description: long non-coding RNA (SVIR_LNC009736)
Source: RNAcentral
AGGUCUCAAAGUAUAGGCUCAAUGGUCAAAUGGACAGGGUCCCAUAGCAUUUUCUUCAAUGAAAAACUCACGAGUCACUAAGGCAUACCAUCAAACAAAUGAGUUGUUGGAUUAAAUCAAUUAGAGCAUCUCGAACACCAUGUAUAUAUUUGGAGAUUUAAACAUACUUUUAUGUAUAGGAGAGAGAAAAUUUUAAGUAUACAAAGGUUGCCUUCUUCAACAAUGUAUCUAUAGUGCUCUACCUAUAUUUUGGAUAACAACCCUGAUGGUUAGGGUCAGCACAUCGGUCUCUCUCCUUCUUCCAUGUCCAUC